This 497-nucleotide ribosomal RNA is filed under the name uncultured bacterium. Its description in RNAcentral is "partial 16S ribosomal RNA". It matches the Rfam family "Bacterial small subunit ribosomal RNA", at positions 28 to 507 of the family's 1533-position model. The record is from RNAcentral.
GACGAACGCUGGCGGCGUGCCUAAUACAUGCAAGUUGAGCGCUGAAGGUUGGUACUUGUACCCACUGGAUGAGCAGCGAACGGGUGAGUAACGCGUGGGGAAUCUGCCUUUGAGUGGGGGACAACAUUUGGAAACGAAUGCUAAUACCGCAUAAAAACUUUAAACACAAGUUUUAAGUUUGAAAGAUGCAAUUGCAUCACUCAAAGAUGAUCCCGCGUUGUAUUAGCUAGUUGGUGAGGUAAAGGCUCACCAAGGCGAUGAUACAUAGCCGACCUGAGAGGGUGAUCGGCCACAUUGGGACUGAGACACGGCCCAAACUCCUACGGGAGGCAGCAGUAGGGAAUCUUCGGCAAUGGACGAAAGUCUGACCGAGCAACGCCGCGUGAGUGAAGAAGGUUUUCGGAUCGUAAAACUCUGUUGGUAGAGAAGAACGUUGGUGAGAGUGGAAAGCUCAUCAAGUGACGGUAACUACCCAGAAAGGGACGGCUAACUACGUG